This 497-nucleotide ribosomal RNA is filed under the name uncultured bacterium. Its description in RNAcentral is "partial 16S ribosomal RNA". It matches the Rfam family "Bacterial small subunit ribosomal RNA", at positions 28 to 507 of the family's 1533-position model. The record is from RNAcentral.
GAUGAACGCUGGCGGCGUGCCUAAUACAUGCAAGUCGAGCGAACAGAUAAGGAGCUUGCUCCUUUGACGUUAGCGGCAGACGGGUGAGUAACACGUGGGUAACCUACCUAUAAGACUGGGAUAACUUCGGGAAACCGGAGCUAAUACCGGAUAACAUUUGGAACCGCAUGGUUCUAAAGUGAAAGAUGGUUUUGCUAUCACUUAUAGAUGGACCCGCGCCGUAUUAGCUAGUUGGUAAGGUAACGGCUUACCAAGGCGACGAUACGUAGCCGACCUGAGAGGGUGAUCGGCCACACUGGAACUGAGACACGGUCCAGACUCCUACGGGAGGCAGCAGUAGGGAAUCUUCCGCAAUGGGCGAAAGCCUGACGGAGCAACGCCGCGUGAGUGAUGAAGGGUUUCGGCUCGUAAAACUCUGUUAUUAGGGAAGAACAAAUGUGUAAGUAACUGUGCACGUCUUGACGGUACCUAAUCAGAAAGCCACGGCUAACUACGUG